RNAcentral lists this transfer RNA (90 nucleotides) under Lentisphaerota bacterium. RNAcentral's name for it is "Lentisphaerae bacterium (feces metagenome) tRNA-Ser". It matches the Rfam family "tRNA". Rfam says of the family: Transfer RNA (tRNA) molecules are approximately 80 nucleotides in length. Their secondary structure includes four short double-helical elements and three loops (D, anti-codon, and T loops). Further hydrogen bonds mediate the characteristic L-shaped molecular structure. tRNAs have two regions of fundamental functional importance: the anti-codon, which is responsible for specific mRNA codon recognition, and the 3' end, to which the tRNAs corresponding amino acid is attached (by aminoacyl-tRNA synthetases). tRNAs cope with the degeneracy of the genetic code in two manners: having more than one tRNA (with a specific anti-codon) for a particular amino acid; and 'wobble' base-pairing, i.e. permitting non-standard base-pairing at the 3rd anti-codon position. The record is from RNAcentral. Lineage: Bacteria; Pseudomonadati; Lentisphaerota.
GGAGAGAUGGCUGAGUGGUCUAAGGCGGCGGUCUCGAAAAUCGCUGUGGGGGCAACCUCACCGAGGGUUCAAAUCCCUCUCUCUCCGCCA